RNAcentral lists this RNase P RNA (385 nucleotides) under Bacillus sp. FJAT-29953. RNAcentral describes it as "RNase P RNA component class B". It matches the Rfam family "Bacterial RNase P class B". Rfam says of the family: Ribonuclease P (RNase P) is a ubiquitous endoribonuclease, found in archaea, bacteria and eukarya as well as chloroplasts and mitochondria. The record is from RNAcentral. Lineage: Bacteria; Bacillati; Bacillota; Bacilli; Caryophanales; Bacillaceae.
AAUGGUGAGUAGUCGCGGUUCCUUUAUAGGAGCUGAGGAAAGUCCAGGCUCGCACAGUGCUGAGAUGCCUGUAGUGUUCGUGCCAUCUGCAAGGGUGGGCAGCCAAUCUUGAUAUUGGCUGACGGCGGUGAAAUCAUGCUAAGUCUCUAGGGAUAUGCUGAGAAUAGCCUGAAAGUGCCACAGUGACGAUGCUUUUCUGGAAACGGAAAAGGUGGAACGGGUAAACCCCACGAGCGAGCAACCCAAAUUUUGGUCGGGGCACCAUCCCGCGGGAAAUGAACCUAACGGAUGGAUCAACCAAUCGUUGAUAGAUAGAUGACUACUGCUUCCUGUACGAGGCUUGACGCUGUUUGCAGUACGGAAGUACAAAACCUGGCUUACAGCC